GAUGAAGAACGUAGCGAAAUGCGAUAAGUAAUGUGAAUUGCAGAAUUCAGUGAAUCAUCGAAUCUUUGAACGCACAUUGCGCCCACCAGCACUCUGGCGGGCAUGCCUGUUCGAGCGUCAUUUCAACCAUCAAGCCCCCAGGGGCGUGUGCUGGGGCCCUGCGGCUGCCCGCAGGCCCUGAAAACCAGUGGCGGGCUCGCUAGUCACACCGAGCGCAGUAGCACAUCUCGCUCAGGGCGUGCGGCGGGCUCCUGCCGUGAAACCCCCCACUGUAACCCCAAAGGUUGACCUCGGAUCAGGUAGGAAUACCCGCUGAACUUAAGCAUAUCAAUAAGCGGAGGA
Molecule: unclassified non-coding RNA, 342 nt
Filed under: soil metagenome
Description: partial contains 5.8S ribosomal RNA, internal transcribed spacer 2, and large subunit ribosomal RNA
Rfam family: 5.8S ribosomal RNA (bases 1-120)
Source: RNAcentral